This 361-nucleotide long non-coding RNA is filed under the name Coffea arabica (coffee). Its description in RNAcentral is "long non-coding RNA (CARA_LNC003489)". Lineage: Eukaryota; Viridiplantae; Streptophyta; Magnoliopsida; Gentianales; Rubiaceae. The record is from RNAcentral.
UUCUUGAUCUGGAAUAUUCAUUAUGUUUCACGUCAUGAUACACCGCGAUAUUUACGACACGUAUUUUCUCAAAACCAUAUUCGCUUGCUGGUCUUGAUUAAAUCCAUGUCCAAUGUGGAUUUGAUUGAUGCCAUUCAUGCCAUGCUUCACUUUGAUAGCUGUCGGUCUUGUAUUGAAGGAAAAAUAUGGAUUUUCUGGUGUGAUGAGUUUAAUAUUUUUUUUCAAGAAUUGGUAGACCAAAUGGUGUCUAUGUUGGUCUUGUCUUCGUUGGGAUAUUUCUUUUGCUUUUCUGCUAUCUAUGCAAGAUGUACUCAAGUUAGGAGAAGGAGUUUAUGGAUGGCUAUGGAAGAGGUUGCUGCUC